This 375-nucleotide ribosomal RNA is filed under the name uncultured bacterium. Its description in RNAcentral is "bacterial SSU rRNA". It matches the Rfam family "Bacterial small subunit ribosomal RNA", at positions 521 to 896 of the family's 1533-position model. The record is from RNAcentral.
UAAUACGAAGGGGGCUAGCGUUGUUCGGAAUUACUGGGCGUAAAGCGCGCGCAGGCGGUCUUCCAAGUCAGUGGUGAAAGCCUGGAGCUCAACUCCAGAACUGCCAUUGAAACUGUUAGACUUGAGUACGAGAGAGGUGAGUGGAAUUCCCAGUGUAGAGGUGAAAUUCGUAGAUAUUGGGAAGAACACCAGUGGCGAAGGCGGCUCACUGGCUCGUAACUGACGCUCAGGCGCGACAGCGUGGGGAUCAAACAGGAUUAGAUACCCUGGUAGUCCACGCCGUAAACGAUGAAUGCUAGCCGUUGGAUAGCUUGCUAUUCAGUGGCGCAGCUAACGCAUUAAGCAUUCCGCCUGGGGAGUACGGCCGCAAGGUUG